GACGAACGCUGGCGGCGUGCCUAAUACAUGCAAGUAGAACGCUGAAGAGAGGAGCUUGCUCUUCUUGGUUGAGUUGCGAACGGGUGAGUAACGCGUAGGUAACCUGCCUUGUAGCGGGGGAUAACUAUUGGAAACGAUAGCUAAUACCGCAUAACAAUGGAUGACACAUGUCAUUUAUUUGAAAGGGGCAAUUGCUCCACUACAAGAUGGACCUGCGUUGUAUUAGCUAGUAGGUGAGGUAAUGGCUCACCUAGGCGACGAUACAUAGCCGACCUGAGAGGGUGAUCGGCCACACUGGGACUGGGACACGGCCCAGACUCCUACGAGAGGCAGCAGUAGGGAAUCUUCGGCAAUGGGGGCAACCCUGAACGAGCAACGCCGCGUGAGUGAAGAAGGUUUUCGGAUCGUAAAGCUCUGUUGUAAGUCAAGAACGGGAGUGAGAGUGGAAAGUUCACACUGUGACGGUAGCUUAACAGAAAGGGACGGCUAACUACGUG
RNAcentral lists this ribosomal RNA (497 nucleotides) under uncultured bacterium. RNAcentral's name for it is "partial 16S ribosomal RNA". It matches the Rfam family "Bacterial small subunit ribosomal RNA", at positions 28 to 507 of the family's 1533-position model. The record is from RNAcentral.